CUCACCUGUAGUUUAAAACAACUAUAAAAACAGCAGAAGUUCACCAACGCUCAGAAGGACUACAGCCACCAAAGGGUUGUGUUGGAUCUUGAACCUACCUGAAUUCAUGCAGGGCAAGGCAGGACACCCCCUGAACAGGGCACUAAGAAAGUAUGAGCACCCAGCAAAGCAUAAAUGAGGAGAAAAUAUGAAGUUAUGAAGAUCCCUACCACAACCUUAAAGAAGACUAGACAACAACAUGGAAGCAGACCAGCGCAAAGCUAGCGCAGAGUAUUAUUAAACUUAUGAUUAAAGGUAAGAUCAUUACCUGACCAUGUUUGUAGUAACAAAUGCUCAAAAUCUGAAAAAUGGUCAAAAACUUGCUAAACUAUCAUGGUGAUUUAAUCGCAUUUAAAAUCAUUUUGUAUAUUUUUCCAAAAAUACAGAUGUUUUAUACACAGACUUUCCUCUUGGUACAUGACUAUUUACAUAUUUUUUCUGUCAGUUACAAUCCAGGUUACUGUUAUGGCUGCCUUUGAGCAGCAAUUAUUGAGUAUGAGACUGUUGUGAGGGCAUUGUAGUAUUUAUAUUGGCUAAUUAAACACGAUAUUGUCUCAUACAAACAAUGCAGCCCUACUGGAUGUGGCUGAGUUUCUUGGCUGUGUUUUCUUUUCUUUUCUUUUCUUUUUUUUUAAUUAAUGGUAAUGAAAUCUGUUGCCAUUUGUAUCAUCUUAUUUUUUUACAGCACACUUUUAUGUUUACCUGUAUACUGUAAUUGGGAACUUUACCAAGAGCAAGAGAAUACCUUUUACACCCAGCAAGGCAUAUCCCUUCAUUUAUUUCAGUAAAAAAACUAGACUAAAAUUCCCCUGCCAUCAAUGUACAGUGUAAAUUGCUAAAGGAAGCAUUAAUAUGAAAAACAUUGAUUCAUUUAUUUACUUUUUUUUUUAAACCCUAGAAAUUUACUGAAGAGGGAACCUCAUAAAGGCUUAUUAUAGAAAGAAAAGGAUUAUUAUUAUAUGGUCCUUCAGUCUGAGAAUUCUACUGUGCAUUCAGAAAAGGCAGGAGAUAAAAUACUCUUAUAAUAAUUGCACUUACAAGUACAAGCAGGAAUGUAUUUAUGUAUUCACUGCUGCAGCAAAACAAACUAUGCUGAAGUUGAUGAAACAGUUAAUUCAAAAAGUUAAAUUGUUUAACUGUAAAAAAUGCAUGCAGAAUGUAUGCAAUGUAAAUUAUGUAGCAAUAAUUUGACUAUUUAUUUCAGUUUAAUUUAACAGUUACGCAAUUCAAGAUAUAUAUUUUUAUUUUGCUAUUAAGGGAAAUUAUAACCCCAAAUCCAACAAAAGAUGAGAAAGCAUGCAAAACCCCCACUUUUAUUUACAGUAUGAACCCAAAAUGUUAUGUUCUAUCUGGUCUUUUACCUUAAUUUCAUUUGUUAAUAUACACCAAUUCCUGUAAUUCAGCAACAUAUUCAAAAAAAAGUUUGGACAGUACAGCAUUUACCACUUUGUAAUGUUGACAUUUUGUCUGUCAACAUUGUUAAAUACAUUUUUGCACUGAAUAUACCAAGAGAUUAAAUGUUUCAGGUGAUAUUUUUAUUGAUUUCUUCCUUCAAACAUGCAGCAUGUGGUUUUGCAUUGUCUUGUUAAAAUGUAUGUCACUAUAAAUGAUGCUCCCUUAAAGUCAGCAUAUUUUACAAUGAAAUCAAGAGGGUAUAAACUUCCUUAGCAUAGAGCUAUGGAGCAGUGGAUCUGUGUUUUCUGUAAGGAUAAUGCUCCAUCAAAUACUUUUGA
Astyanax mexicanus (Mexican tetra) is the source of this 1772-nucleotide long non-coding RNA. RefSeq lists it as uncharacterized. Lineage: Eukaryota; Metazoa; Chordata; Actinopteri; Characiformes; Acestrorhamphidae. The record is from RefSeq and is a predicted model, not a curated record. The transcript is spliced from 3 exons.